Molecule: long non-coding RNA, 726 nt
Filed under: Sorghum bicolor (sorghum)
Lineage: Eukaryota; Viridiplantae; Streptophyta; Magnoliopsida; Poales; Poaceae
Description: long non-coding RNA (SBIC_LNC014968)
Source: RNAcentral
CUAUGUCAGAGACAAUCGCAAGCUUAAGACAAUGAUCUCGGCAUCCACUACAAGGCUCAAGUUCAUCCAUAAGUGCAAUUGGAAGCAGUCUCGAUACCUUGACGUAGGACAGUACAGACCCAUCUCGAUCUUUUCUUUUCACUUAACUUGAUUUUCAAUUUUUAGCACAAGAAAUUACAAGUUGCCCAAGCAAGUGUAUAACUCCAAGCAUGAGACAUAGCAACCUAGCAUAUAAAUGAUAGCUCAAGUGACCUCAACACAUCCUACACAUGCUAGUUGCCAAUCACAAUGGUGAACAAUUUUCAGGUUUGAACAAGUUUAUGUCAAGUUCACAAGUUAUAAAAUAUGCUUAGCUCAUAACAUGCAUCAAGUGAUCAAAAGGAGCCUAAGCGACAAGCACCAUCAUGUACAUACAAGACAUAUCACAAAGAGCAUAAUCUCAAUCUAACAACUAUAAUCAUGAAGCUCAAAAUGCUCUAAUAUAUAUGAUGAGAUGAAAUGCAAUGCAAUAUGAUACAAAAAUAAAAUAAAAGCUAAACUAAAAGAAAACAAAACUAGAGUAAAAAAACCAAAGUUCCCCUCAACUAAAAAGGGAAACAAACUCCAAGCUCCCCUCGCAAGCGAGCAAACUGGGCUUGGUCAAGUGGUUUGGUAAAGAUGUCUGCAAGCUGAUUUUGGGUAUCAACAUGGUGUAGGUCAAUAUCUCCUUUCUCAUAGUGGUCACGC